CCUUUUAACCCAAUCUCUGAUGAACAACCUGCGUGCACUGUGAUGUUUUGGGCUGACCAGUAUAUUUACUCUCUUCACUCCUAUGUGUGUUGCCUCUGAAGAUGUGUGCUCCGUAUUCCAAGAUCAUUGUGAUGAAGGUUCUUGUGACACAGAGCUUCCUGGCUCUGUUCAAGUGUGGGAAGUCAGGAGAGGCCCAGUUCCUUUGGGGAAUGCAAUUCAUCUCCUAAAAGGAAGAUCCCCUUCCCCAGUUCUUUACAGCUCACUAGGACUCCUCAGAAGAACUAGACACAGGCUACUCCAAAGACAGCUGGCAAGGAACAUGACCACUCUCUCUCCAGAAAACAGCCUCUCUGCCAAGCAGUCAGCUUCCUUCAUCCUGGCAAAGAGAAACCCUCCCAUUGACAAGACGGAAUGGGACAGCUUCUUCGAUGAGAAUGGUCACUUGGCCAAAUCACGGGACUUCAUCUGUGUCAACAUUCUGGAAAGGGGUCUACAUCCCUUUGUAAGAACAGAAGCCUGGAAGCUCCUCACAGGCUACUACUCGUGGCAGAGUUCCCGGGAUGAUCGGCUCAUGGUGGACAGCAAGAGGAGGAGGAACUAUGAGGCCUUAUGUAAGAUGUAUGAGAAAAUUCAGCCCCUGCUGGAAAACUUGCACCAAAACUUCACAGAAACUCAAAACAACAUUGCAUAUGACAUCCAGAAACUCUACGACAAAGACCCGCUGGGCAAUGUGCUCAUAGAUAAGAAGAAGCUGGAAAAGAUCCUGCUCCUGAGUUAUGUCUGCAACACGCAGGCUGAGUACCAGCAAGGCUUCCACGAGAUGGUGAUGCUUUUCCAGAUAAUGGUGGAACAUGACUAUGAGACCUUCUGGCUCUUUCAGUUCUUUCUGCAGAAAACAGAGCACAGCUGUGUCAUCAACAUUGGGGUGGGCAAGAACCUUGACAUGCUAAGCAGCUUGAUCACUUUCCUGGACCCUGAUUUUGCUGAGCACCUCAAAGGGAAGGGCUCGGGGGCCGUGCAGUUCCUCUUCCCCUGGUUCUGCCUCUGCUUCCAGCGUGCUUUCAAAUCUUUCGAUGAUGUCUGGAGGCUCUGGGAGGUUGUCCCAGUCUUGGGCCACAGGGCCCUGGCUGAGGCCUGCUGAUUGCCCACAGGUCUUGCUUACAGGGAAGCCCUGCAGGAACUUUCAGGUGUUGGUGGCCUACAGCAUGUUGCAAAUGGUGCGUGAGCAGGCGCUAGUGGAGAGCAUGAGUGGUGAUGCCAUCCUCCUGGCCUGCAACAACCUCAUUGAUCUUGAUGCUGAUGAGCUGAUCUCCACUGCCUGCCUGGUUUAUGCUGAACUCAUGCAAAAGGAGGUUCCUCAGCCAUUAAAGGAUUUCUUUCUCUGAGGAUACUGACAUCCCCAAUGGACGCCUGGCCUGAAUAGAUUGGAUGAAGGUAGUUCUUCAGUCAUGGGGUCAGGAUUAAGUCCAGUGUGUGUUGGGGUGAGGGCACAGACAAUACAGCAUCAUGGAA
This is an RNA transcript of Nannospalax galili (Upper Galilee mountains blind mole rat), 1512 nucleotides long. It is a transcript of the gene named TBC1 domain family member 21, with no coding region annotated. The transcript is spliced from 11 exons. The record is from RefSeq and is a predicted model, not a curated record. NCBI's taxonomy places the organism in Eukaryota, Metazoa, Chordata, Mammalia, Rodentia, Spalacidae.